GUGAGGAAUAUUGGUCAAUGGGCGGGAGCCUGAACCAGCCAAGUCGCGUGAAGGAAGAAGGAUCUAUGGUUCGUAAACUUCUUUUGCAGGGGAAUAAAGUGCGGGACGUGUCCUGUUUUGUAUGUACCCUGAGAAUAAGAAUCGGCUAACUCCGUGCCAGCAGCCGCGGUAAUACGGAGGAUCCGAGCGUUAUCCGGAUUUAUUGGGUUUAAAGGGUGCGUAGGUGGUUUGAUAAGUCAGCGGUGAAAGUUUGCAGCUUAACUGUAAAAAUGCCGUUGAAACUGUCGGACUUGAGUGUAAAUGAGGUAGGCGGAAUGCGUGGUGUAGCGGUGAAAUGCAUAGAUAUCACGCAGAACUCCGAUUGCGAAGGCAGCUUACUAAGCUACAACUGACACUGAAGCACGAAAGCGUGGGGAUCAAACAGGAUUAGAUACCCGAGUAGUCC
This 445-nucleotide ribosomal RNA is filed under the name uncultured bacterium. RNAcentral's name for it is "partial 16S ribosomal RNA". It matches the Rfam family "Bacterial small subunit ribosomal RNA", at positions 354 to 796 of the family's 1533-position model. The record is from RNAcentral.